RNAcentral lists this ribosomal RNA (1359 nucleotides) under uncultured bacterium. RNAcentral's name for it is "16S ribosomal RNA". It matches the Rfam family "Bacterial small subunit ribosomal RNA". The record is from RNAcentral.
CAUGCAAGUCGAGCGGCAGCGCGAGUAGUUUACUACUUGGCGGCGAGCGGCGGACGGCUGAGUAACGCGUAAGAACACACCCCAAAGUGAGGAAUAACUGCCCGAAAGGGUAGCUAAUGCCGCAUAUGAUCUUCGGAUUAAAGGAUUUAUCCGCUUUGGGAGUGGCUUGCGUCCGAUUAGGUAGUUGGUGAGGUAAAGGCUCACCAAGCCUACGAUCGGUAACUGGUUUGAGAGGAUGACCAGUCAGACUGGAACUGAGACACGGUCCAGACUCCUACGGGAGGCAGCAGUGAGGAAUCUUCCACAAUGGACGAAAGUCUGAUGGAGCAACUCCGCGUGCAGGAUGAAGGCCUUCGGGUUGUAAACUGCUUUUAUGAGUGAAGAAUAUGACGGUAACUCAUGAAUAAGGGUCGGCUAACUACGUGCCAGCAGCCGCGGUCAUACGUAGGACCCAAGCGUUAUCCGGAGUGACUGGGCGUAAAGAGUUGCGUAGGUGGUUUGUUAAGCGAAUAGUGAAAUCUGACGGCUCAACCGUUCAGACUGUUAUUCGAACUGGCAAACUCGAGAAUGGUAGAGGUAACUGGAAUUUCUGAAGUAGGGGUAAUAUCCGUAGAUAUCAGAAGGAACACCAAUGGCGUAGGCAGGUUACUGGACCAUUUCUGACACUGAGGCACGAAAGCGUGGGGAGCGAACCGGAUUAGAUACCCGGGUAGUCCACGCCGUAAACGAUGGAUACUAGCUGUUGGAGGUAUCGACCCCUUCAGUAGCGAAGCUAACGCGUUAAGUAUCCCGCCUGUGGAGUACGGUCGCAAGACUAAAACAUAAAGGAAUUGACGGGGACCCGCACAAGCGGUGGAUUAUGUUCUUUAAUUCGAUGAUAAACGAAGAACCUUACCAGGGCUUGACAUCCUUGGAAUUACUACGAAAGUAGUGAGUGCUUUAUUGAGCCAAGUGACAGGUGUUGCAUGGCCGUCGUCAGCUCGUGUCGUGAGAUGUUUGGUUAAGUCCAUUAACGAGCGCAACCCUUGUGAUUAGUUGUAUUUUUCUAAUCAGACUGCCCCGGCAACGGGGAGGAAGGAGGGGAUGAUGUCAGGUCAGUAUUACCCUUACGCCCUGGGCUAGAAACGUAAUACAAUGGCUGGUACAAUGCGCUGCGAAGCCGCGAGGUGAAGCAAAUCGCAUCAAAGCCAGUCCCAGUUCGGAUAAGAGGCUGAAACUCGCCUCUUUGAAGUCGGAAUCGCUAGUAAUCGCAGGUCAGCAAACUGCGGUGAAUACGUUCCCGGGUCUUGUACAGCACCGCCCGUCAAACCAUGAAAGUCACCAACACCCGAAGUCGCGAUUCGUCGGCCUAAGGUGGGG